Lagopus muta (rock ptarmigan) is the source of this 4574-nucleotide long non-coding RNA. RefSeq lists it as uncharacterized. NCBI's taxonomy places the organism in Eukaryota, Metazoa, Chordata, Aves, Galliformes, Phasianidae. The record is from RefSeq and is a predicted model, not a curated record. The transcript has 3 exons.
UGGACAUUCAGGGGUAUUUUACUCAGUGUGGAAGUGAAUUAGUUGCAGGAGUGUUGAUAGCACACAGCUGACCACACUUUGCUAAGAGCUUUAGUGCACUUGCAUUUAAGCUCCUGGCUACAGUGAUAGUUGGAAGAAAAAGGAUAAAACUGGACAGCUCUCAUCAACUCCUCUGAUUUGUGAUUUUCUUUUUUCUUCUGUUUUCCUCCCAUUCACUCCUUUUCUCUGUUAUAUAAAGGAAAACACUGACAUUUUCCCUUUAAAUUUAGACAGCAGCCAUAGAUUAAGCUUGCUAAGAUUCAGUAAUCAGAUUUCACUGGUUUAAAAUUAACCAAAACAGCAUAAGAAUGUUUGUUUUCUCUCAGCUGGUGGCAGCAGAGCUCAGAAGCUGCCCAGAACAGGUGGCUCUGGAGCAGAUGUGUGUAUCAUGGUGAGGAGAGAAAUGCCCUGCUGCAAGCUGUUUCCAUUGCCAAAGGCACAAUAUCUUGUCUGCUCAGAAUAAGUUUUUCUGGCCCAGCUUCCCAGCUGCCAGAAUGGGACAGGUGAAGGCUGGGCUGCAUGGGAAUGGAGGGAGAGAGAGAUAUCAUGCUAUUUGGGAUGGAGAGAAGGCCAGCAACAGUGCUACCAUCGAUCAUCCUCUACCUGCUCCCCAGCAACUGCCCCAUCAAUUCUCUCCUUCCCUCUACUAUGUUAACAGCAGAGCUGCUCGUUUUGGCUUGUGAUUGAAACAGAUUGGGGAUUUUAAGACUCCGCCCAGUGCGGUGGAUUUACAGAUUGCUUGGAAAGAGAUCCAAGAUUGAUUCUUGAAAGAUUGCUCAUCUGGACAGCUCUCAUUCAAGCACCCAGAUGUUUGCUCCAAAGGGAUUUCUGAGGCUGUAUCUUGUCUUUCUGUUUUGACUGCUGCAAGACUUGUCUGGGCUCAUCUUGAGCAAGCCACCUUCCAGACUGCAAGCAGUAGAGCUCAGCUGGGUGGAUCUUGUGACCACUGCUGGAGUUCCCUUCAAGAAAUUUGCAUUCUAGUUAGUAGCUCUCCUCAUCUUCCUUCCAAAACCUGUCCAAUUUUAGAGGGGACUGCUGUGAGUAGAAUCUGCAAUUUCUUUAUAUGAUUAUUUUUACCAUGAGAACAAAAGAAAUAAUAGAACUCUAUACUAAAAGAAUAGCCUUUGGGAAAAGAACAUUAAGGCUUAGAUACAUAUUGUCUUGAGAAAGCAAUACUGGGUGUGAUGUGUUUGGUUACUGGUUAUUAUUUGAUAUGCCCUAACUUCAGCUUCUGGCCUCUCACUCUGUAGAUGUAUUGACGCACAGUGCUUUGUGACUCAGUCUAACAACAAUGCUUUUGUUACUAAAUUAUAAUGAUACUGGGUUGAUCCUGCAAGAGGAUAUUAUUAUUCAGUAGUCACAGGCUAAGUUUCAGGUUGAAAAAGCAGCUUGAUACUCACUAGAAAGCCACUAACUAGUGUAGCUUUAAAGACAGCUAAAUACUUGCAGUUGUGAAAGAACUGAAAAGAUUCGUGUUAUUCUUGUAGAAAACCGAAGCCGUAUUCACAACUGGGAUAAGGCACACAAAUUCACUGAAGCCAGCACAGCUUGUUUCAGCACCUGAGUCCGGUCCUGUGAAAUCCUUUUCUCAGAACUUCAAGCCUAAAAAGCCCUCCCUCUUUAGAAGUCGGACAUGUGCUAAGCAGAAAACAAAGUGUUUUAACAUUUGCAACAGUACUAAAUGAAUACAAAUAGUAUCACAGGUUGGGACGAUGAACAGAUUGAAAAGUAUUCUGAUGUAGGUAGUACCUCUAACUCCAUAAACCUUGUGUCUCAGAAAGCUCUAUGGCUUUUUUGCGGAAAAAAUAUUGCUACUGUAUAAAUUUCAACUUAAAUGAGGUGUCCAGAAAAUAACUAGACUUAGGGACACAGACAUAGAGCUUUUUUUAGACCACAACUCUUUAUCUUCCUGAAUGUGGCACAAGGUGACAUUAGUAAUGUGAUAACUCAUGGAACUUCCACCUUCAAUAGGCUACUUAGCCAUAUUUCGUCUCAAGUCACUCAGACUUGCAUUUCUUUUACCCUGAAAAAUGUCUAAAAAUUCAGAGAUCAACAAACAGAGGCAGACGCAAAAACAGAAGUGCAGGAUGUAAGAAAUGACCACAUUCAGGAAUUGGAUGAGAGCUUUUUACUUCAAGUAAGAAUUUCAAAGUCUACGGUUAUUCCCGUGCUAAGAUAUUUAUCAAACUUCCUGCACUUACCAGCAUCAGUCUUGGUCAGCCUUUGGUCAGAAGUCUGUUGACUUCUGUUGACUUAGGGGCAGAGAAUGUAUUUAAUCAUUCAGAUAGGACCUUUUCUCUCAUGUCAGUAGUAAAUUAAAACAUUGCAUAAUGUUGUGCAGCAGUGGGCUUCUAGAAACAUUACUUUGUCACUGAAAUACUCUCCCUUAGUUCUCCUGUAGUAGGCAGAUGAAUUAUAAAGCAACAGAAUUUGAAUAACUGUCUCACCAUAUUGCCAGGAAAGGUAAUAUUAUCUACUCACUUCUGCUGAGUAUUGCCUCAGGCUUUUGUACCAAAACAUCACACUAGAACUCAGUGCUGUCUAGUAACUAACACUGAAUUUAAAGUGUUGCCACAGUCAAUAAUGCUCAGUUUCCAGACCUAGGUCACCAAAGCAUGUAAAAAAGGAUCCAUGAGUGAUGACUCAAAGCCAAAGAUAUUUUUUCUUUUUUUCUUUUUAUUUUUUUAUUAAUUCCUGUUUGUUUAGGACAGAAGAUAAAAAUGUGUUUAUAAACCAGAGAGUCUGUUGCAGGUGCAGGGGACUCUGUUCCAGCUGGCACUCUGAAAGAUCAAUUACCUCUAUCAAAGCUGUUCUGCUGCCUUUGCUGUCUAGUUGCUCAUUUCUGAGGCUGCACGGGAACCCUACACACAGAGUGAAUUAAAAAGACCAGGGCUCUGUGUUCAAUACCCUCUUCGAGUGUACAAUUUAACCAUUAAUGCUACAAGCCCUAAUUCUUCUUAAUCUGAUCAAAUGGUGGGAAAACAUAAAAAGCUUUUGAGUUUGAAAUGACCUGGCAAUGGUGAUGCUAUUCUCAAUUGAGAAUGCAAAUGAAACCAUGUAAUACAGUGCUAUAAUUGAGAAAGAUUGCAUUUUUUUAAGUUGUUGACCAGGAAUGGAUGGAUUGGUAGGCAAGCUAUCAAAGAACCGUUAUGGAAUACAGCUUAAUAAAUAUUAUUCUGCAAUAUUUUCCUGUUGCCUGUGAAGCAUUACAGUGCUAAAGGGUGCAUUGUAUGUGGUGUUAGUAGGGUGUUGUGACAGCGAUAUUAUCAAUGUUUGUACAGGUUGUCACCAAUACUUGAAAUGACUUGUAAAAACAGCACCUUAAUAAUAAUACCCUGCUACCAUUACUGUGCUGUAGAUGGAAAUGUGCUUUCAUUCUUUGGUACACAAUCUAUAUAUUACUGAUUAAUUUUCUACCUUCUUUCCAUGGAUGGUUCGCAAAAGACAGUGUUAACAACACUCUUAACAGCAUGUGCAAUCACAUCAUUUGUAUGGUAAGCUGUACGGUUAUAUUCAUGUUAUAAGUUGUUUUUUUUUGCAUUCAUUUCUCAUUUACCACCAAACUCCCCACUAAUUUUCAUGGAUGCAUUUCAGCAAAUGCUUUUUCUCCCCAACAUCUACUACACCUGAUGGAAAUGUUUUCCUCCCUCAAAAAACACACAUGAUCAGGGCUCCAAAACCAGCAUGAGCUGAUCUUGAACCAAAGUCUAUUGUGUUGUUCUAAAAAUAUCAUACUUUUGAAGACUGUUAUCUUACAGUCUGGUAGAAACGUGGGACAUAAUUUACUAUUACAAAGAAGCCUUCCAUCUUUUCAAUUAGAAGUAUUGCACUUAUCAUUGCUGGACCAGGAAACUCUGAAGACUUGCAAGAUUGAAACGAUGAUAUCCUUCAGCUAGGAAAUGCUAUUAUGCUGCUAAUGCUAGGCUGCGUGUACUCCGAAUCCCACGUAGACAUGAAUACAAUGCUACAGCUGGCAGAUACCAGUGUCGGUGUAUGCUCAGUAGGAGCUCUAGAACACGCUGUAAAAUAGUUCCUCUUGUGUUCCGUGCAUGUAACACACACAAAUUCAGGUGGGAGGUGAUCUGCAGACACCAGUUUAGAACAAGCUGCACACAGUGCGAUGAGGGCUGUGCACCCUCUCAUCACGGCAGUCAGCCUACAACCGGGCUGUUUGUGGCACGGCUCCUGCAGCACACCGCGGAGCGCUCCUCUCGCUGCCUCGCAGUCCCCUCGCUGCCCCCAGCUGCCAGCCGGAUCAAUGAGUUUUGCCCACUCAUUUGCCCUUUGCCAAGGGUUUGGUUGACCUUUAAAAAUGGAAAAUCCUCCGUCUCCGACCUAAAAGUCCGCCACGAAGCCACGCGUUCUCGUCAUUACUACUGACCACGGGCGCUAAAUGAGAGGACGUUCAUCUCAGCGCUGCAAGGAGCGCCCACCGCCGCCCUCCCUCCGUCCUCACCCCGACUCGGGGCCGCGCCGACCCCUCCGACCGGCGACACGGCGCAGUCCGCUCCCCGAGGCAGGCACACCAGCACAGC